RNAcentral lists this long non-coding RNA (699 nucleotides) under Nicotiana benthamiana. RNAcentral's name for it is "long non-coding RNA (NBEN_LNC008087)". The record is from RNAcentral. Lineage: Eukaryota; Viridiplantae; Streptophyta; Magnoliopsida; Solanales; Solanaceae.
GCGGGUUUCCGAGGACAUGACCCUUGAUAGGAAAGUCUGGAGGUCUAGUAUCAGGGUUGUAGGAUAGGGGUUCCUAGAGUUUUUCAUACUCCUCACCCCGGGUUGGGUGAGGCUUGGCAGGGCUAUCCAUAGAUGAUGUAUGUUUUGGAUUGCGUCUCCCUUAUGAUAGUUAUUUAUGGUAGUUACUGUAUGAUAUUAUUGCAUGUUAUUUUAUUUAUGGUUCUUAUGUUUAGAUAAUUAUUUACGCUAUUUCUGCGGGAGUUACGAAUACUUUUUUGUUUUUGUUUUUGUUUUUGUUUUUCCUUUCCUUCUCUAAGCCGAGGGUCGAAUGGAAACAGCCUCUCUGCCCUUUCGGGUAGGGGUAAAGCUCGUCUACAUAUUACCCUCCCCAAACCCCACUUUGUGGGACUAUAUUGGAUAGUUGUUGUCGUUGCUUCUACUCCUUUCUCUCUUGCUCUACUUUAUUUUUUCAUUUAAAAAGUUCACAAUCUUUGGGAUAACCUAGUGAAUAGUGUUGAAAGGUAGAUAAAGGGUUGGUGUUUAGUAUAAUUGUAACAACUCUAAAUUUUUAUUUUUGUUUUUGUUUUUGUUUUUCUUUUACUUCUCUGAGCCGAGGGUCGAUUGGAAAUAGCCUCUCUGCCCUUUCAGGUAGGGGUAAGGCUCGUCUACAUAUUACCCUCCCCAGACCCCACUUUGUUG